GAUGAAGAACGUAGCGAAAUGCGAUACGUAAUGUGAAUUGCAGAAUUCAGUGAAUCAUCGAAUCUUUGAACGCAUAUUGCGCUCUCUGGUAUUCCGGAGAGCAUGCUUGUUUGAGUAUCAGUAAACACCUCAACUUCCAUAUCUUUUUUGAAAUGGGAGUUGGACUUGAGUGAUCCCAACGCUUUUCCUCACCGAAAAGUGGCGGGUUACUUGAAAUGCAGGUGCAGCUGGACUUUUCUCUGAGCUAUAAGCAUAUCUAUUUAGUCUGCCUAAAAAACAGAUUAUUACCUUUGCUGCAGCUAACAUAAAGGAGAUUAGUUCUUGUGCUGACUGAUGCAGGAUUCACAAAGACAGGCUUCGGCCGACUUUGUAAACUCGAUCUCAAAUCAAGUAAGACUACCCGCUGAACUUAAGCAUAUCAAACGGAGGA
Molecule: unclassified non-coding RNA, 430 nt
Filed under: soil metagenome
Description: partial contains 5.8S ribosomal RNA, internal transcribed spacer 2, and large subunit ribosomal RNA
Rfam family: 5.8S ribosomal RNA (bases 1-120)
Source: RNAcentral